CAGAGCUUUCCUUCUGAAAAUCUCACAGCAUAUUUGAUAUUUUUUUUCCGUUUGAGCUCAUCAUCAGGUGCGGAGGUUUCUGUUUCCUCUUUAUCACAAGAGAGGAAGUUAACCAGCUUUUUCUACCAAAGCUUGAUCAGUCUCUUGACUUCUCAAAGACAACAGAGAGGUGUGGGUGUGGUGUUAGGGGGAGAGAAGAUAAGAGAGAAGAAGUUAAUUUGGUCCUGCAAGAACUAGUGCUGCUCAAACAAAGGGGGUGGUGUG
Molecule: unclassified non-coding RNA, 264 nt
Filed under: Hevea brasiliensis (rubber tree)
Lineage: Eukaryota; Viridiplantae; Streptophyta; Magnoliopsida; Malpighiales; Euphorbiaceae
Source: RNAcentral